This 198-nucleotide ribosomal RNA is filed under the name uncultured bacterium. Its description in RNAcentral is "partial 16S ribosomal RNA". It matches the Rfam family "Bacterial small subunit ribosomal RNA", at positions 328 to 539 of the family's 1533-position model. The record is from RNAcentral.
ACGCUCGACACCUACGGGAGGCAGCAGUGGGGAAUAUUGCNCAAUGGGGGAAACCCUGAUGCAGCGACGCCGCGUGAAGGAAGAAGUAUUUCGGUAUGUAAACUUCUAUCAGCAGGGAAGAAAAUGACGGUACCUGACUAAGAAGCCCCGGCUAACUACGUGUCAGCAGCCGCGGUAAUCUGAGCGGGCUGGCAAGGC